Long non-coding RNA from Leucoraja erinaceus (little skate), 808 nucleotides. RefSeq lists it as uncharacterized. The transcript is spliced from 3 exons. The record is from RefSeq and is a predicted model, not a curated record. NCBI's taxonomy places the organism in Eukaryota, Metazoa, Chordata, Chondrichthyes, Rajiformes, Rajidae.
UAGAAAUAAGUUUUAAAAUCAAAUCCUUUCGUGUUCGACGCAGGAAUAGCACAUGACAAGGGAAAAUGAUUUGUACUGGUACAGAGUUUAUCGGGCCAGGACUCUAUCUCACAACUCAGGAAAUCAAACAAAUAAUACCAGUACACUAAAUGUGGAUAGAACAUUGAAUGAACCAUAACAGAUCCAAGGGAUUUUAAAGUAACAGAGUAACCAAUGUUGAAAUGGAUUACUGCUAUUCAGUUAUACUUUACUGAAUUUGUGUUCUAGUUAUGUGUUUCAUAACUGUUUGCAGUCAUCUAGACAAGCCUAAUUAGUGUUCGAAACAACCAAAUGUUAUGCUAGAGUGAGCUACUGCCAGCAAUGAGUGCUUCUAGUUAGGCACAGAGUGAGGCACAGGAUCAAAUGCCAUCUAUUCUGCAGCAUAUUUAGCUUGUACACAGGUGCACAGCCUUUUAUCCGAAAUUCCGGAAACUGAAAAGCUCCGAAACCCGGACAUUUUUUCCAGGACUUGAACCGAAACGAUCCACGGUCAACCCAGUGCCGCCCGCGGCCGGACGCACGCAGCCCCAGCUCCGCGAUGUUGGGAGUCGGCGGCCACAGCGCUCCGGAGCUUACGGCACGGCGACCCGGAAAGGCAUUGCCCGCUCCCCGCCUCUCCGUCCAGAAAGAACUGCAGAUGCUGGAAAAAUCGAAGGUAGACAACAAUGCUGGAGAAACUCAGCGGGUGAGGCAGCAUCUAUGAAGUGAAGGAAUAGGUGACAUUUCGAGUUGAGACCCUUCUUCAGACUGAUUAUGUUGUAAUAAAGUU